Molecule: ribosomal RNA, 285 nt
Filed under: Triticum aestivum (bread wheat)
Lineage: Eukaryota; Viridiplantae; Streptophyta; Magnoliopsida; Poales; Poaceae
Description: partial small subunit ribosomal RNA
Source: RNAcentral
AGUUGCAAUCGUCUCAUUGUCAAUUCUGACAACAUGGAAGUCAUUGACACAAUGAAGAACAGAGGACUUUCUGCAGGAGCGGCGGCUGCAAUUUUUGAGGUUUGUUUUUUUAUGGCUUGCGAUUUUCCUCUUACUAGUUUCGAAAAUUGUAAUAGAGAAGCAAACAAAGUAGCUCAUGCGCUUGCUAGAAUAGCUAAAUGUUCCAUGACUAGGGAUUGGAUCGAGGAGCCCAUGGAAAAUAUUGUACCUCCUCUUAUAGACGAUCGAUGUAGCCAUUAUUUCUAA